Molecule: ribosomal RNA, 674 nt
Filed under: uncultured bacterium
Lineage: Bacteria
Description: bacterial SSU rRNA
Rfam family: Bacterial small subunit ribosomal RNA
Source: RNAcentral
AAAAAGUUAGUGGUGAAAUCCCAGAGCUUAACUCUGGAACUGCCAUUAAAACUUUUCAGCUAGAGUAUGAUAGAGGAAAGCAGAAUUUCUAGUGUAGAGGUGAAAUUCGUAGAUAUUAGAAAGAAUACCAAUUGCGAAGGCAGCUUUCUGGAUCAUUACUGACACUGAGGAACGAAAGCAUGGGUAGCGAAGAGGAUUAGAUACCCUCGUAGUCCAUGCCGUAAACGAUGUGUGUUAGACGUUGGAAAUUUAUUUUCAGUGUCGCAGCGAAAGCGAUAAACACACCGCCUGGGGAGUACGACCGCAAGGUUAAAACUCAAAUGAAUUGACGGGGACCCGCACAAGUAGUGGAGCAUGUGGUUUAAUUCGAAGAUACGCGCAGAACCUUACCAACACUUGACAUGUUCGUCGCGACUCUAAGAGAUUAGAGUUUUCGGUUCGGCCGGACGAAACACAGGUGCUGCAUGGCUGUCGUCAGCUCGUGUCGUGAGAUGUUGGGUUAAGUCCCGCAACGAGCGCAACCCUCACUUUUAGUUGCCAUCAUUAAGUUGGGCACUCUGAAAGAACUGCCAGUGAUAAGCUGGAGGAAGGUGGGGAUGACGUCAAGUCCUCAUGGCCCUUACGUGUUGGGCUACACACGUGCUACAAUGGUAUCUACAACAGGAAGCAAGACU